AAGGCCUUCGGGUUGUAAACCGCUUUUAGUCGGGAAGAAAAGGCAGGGGCUAACACCCUCUGUUUUUGACGGUACCGGCGGAAUAAGCACCGGCUAACUACGUGCCAGCAGCCGCGGUAAUACGUAGGGUGCGAGCGUUAAUCGGAAUUACUGGGCGUAAAGCGUGCGCAGGCGGUUCGUUAAGUCUGAUGUGAAAGCCCCGGGCUCAACCUGGGAAUGGCAUUGGAGACUGGCGAGCUCGAGUGUGGCAGAGGGGGGUGGAAUUCCGCGUGUAGCAGUGAAAUGCGUAGAGAUGCGGAGGAACACCGAUGGCGAAGGCAGCCCCCUGGGCUGACACUGACGCUCAGGCACGAAAGCGUGGGGAGCAAACAGGAUUAGAUACCCUGGUAGUCCACGCCCUAAACGAUGAUCACUGGGUGUUCGAGGAGCGAUCUUUGAGUACCGAAGCUAACGCGUGAAGUGAUCCGCCUGGGGAGUACGGUCGCAAGAUUAAAACUCAAAGGAAUUGACGGGGACCCGCACAAGCGGUGGAUGAUGUGGAUUAAUUCGAUGCAACGCGAACAACCUUACCUACCCUUGACAUGUCCGGAAGCCCGGUGAGAGCUGGGGGUGCCCGAAAGGGAACCGGAACACAGGUGCUGCAUGGCUGUCGUCAGC
This 657-nucleotide ribosomal RNA is filed under the name uncultured bacterium. RNAcentral describes it as "bacterial SSU rRNA". It matches the Rfam family "Bacterial small subunit ribosomal RNA", at positions 411 to 1059 of the family's 1533-position model. The record is from RNAcentral.